AAUAGUUCUCACCUACGAAGCGAGGGGAUCCUCACCCUUAUUCUAGCAAAUAGUCCAUUCCCCAUAUACAUUUUAUUUAAACCUUCUCCUUGCUACUAUUGAGGAAUCCCAAGCAAGUUCUAGUAUUUUCCUCUUCCUUUCUUGGUCUUUGAGGGGAUAAAAUUCAAGAGAAGAUCUCUAGGUUCGUCAAACAUAUUCUUGAAUCUUCGCUUGUGUUUCUACGAUAUCCUCGACAACAUCUCCAUCUACAUGCACGCAGAUCUAGUUGGUAAGAGAGAUUUCUUCAUAUCACUCUCCUUCUCAAUCUGUGUAAGUAGCUAGUUAUUAUAAAGGGUGAUUACGACAUAAGGUAAACUGAUUUGUAGUAGAAUUCUGUUCGUCCGAUAGCUUAAGUCAUAGUUAGUGGAUUAAUUGGUAUACUCAUUUAGAUUUUCUUUCCGUAAGUUGAUGAAAUAGAUGAGACCUAUGUUCCAUAUGUAAUUUAGAAAGGAAUGUGGCAUAGUAAAUUACAAGUUGCAACCCCAUAACUAAACUAAAAUAUACUAGAUCCUGGAUUUUUAAGGGCAUGGUUAGGUAUUUCCGUACUUGUGGCCUUAACUAUAGGGAAAAGAAAAAUUGGUGGAGUUCUGCAGGAAAAUAAUGUCAGCCUAACUGGCCUCAUGAUUCUAGCUGCCUACUUGAUUGGCGAAUUUGCCUUCCAUCCUUGCCAAGUAGGCUAACACGACUAGUUGCUACACCACAUAGUUUGGUGUGAUGGACUUGGCUAGUUGUCCUAGCAUGCAAAAAUCACCACUUGGUUUGGCAUGGCCCCAUAAGAGGUAAUUCUGGCCCAUCCCAUACUUUCCUCUACCCCAAAAGCUAACUUCAAACUAUAAAUAUCUUGGCCUCACCCCGACCCCUGACACACAUCGUUUCUCAAGCUGGUGGUCUAGGGCAGUGAAUGACACCAACAAAGAAAGGAAGAAAUGGCUAAACCCGCCUAUAAUUUUGGUGGCUUAUUGGGAAAUUUGGAAUCACAGAAUGAUUGUGUUUUUAGUGGCUCAAUUCUGAGGGUGUCAAUGGUGCUUCAAUCAGUAGCAUAUGAAGGCACAGUUUGGUGCUUAGCUAGAACUUCAAAGCUCUGAGAGGUCUUGGCUAGGUCGAUGGCCCUUGCGGGUUAAAUGGUCUUGUUUACCUGUUUUUGAGUUUUUUGUAACUUGUGUUAAUGUUUAGGGUGGGGAUUUUUCGGAUUUCCCUCCCUGUGUAUAUCUUCUUCUUCUUAUUAAUAAAAUGAUACGCAGAUCUUCAGUGUGUUCGAGAAAGAAAAACUAUAUAUAUACAUCACCUAAUGAAUGAUGGUUUUUCUCAUGAGGGUAGGGAUGGGGGUUGAGGAUUACGUACCCAUGGUCCAACUACAUCGAUAGGGGUGCUUAAUUAGCUUCAAUCCUGACAAUAUGAAACCUGUACCUUGUUUUGUUUUAAUCUAUCUGGACAUAAUGAAUCCACUAAAAAUCAAUCAAAACAAAUGAGAUUUUAUAGGUUUUUGCCUGGAUGAAUGGAAAGAUGGAUUAACACGCAUCCAAAACUUUUCUCAUUUGUUUUGGACUAUGGUAUGAGUAAAUCAUAUCAUUGCAUUAGGUAUUUAUUGAAAAAUGAUGAAGACACAAACUUCAUUUUUAAUGUAUAUUAUUCAGCAAACUGUAAAUAUCCUUCUCCUAAACAGUAGAUUAUUAUUGAACAUGAAAUCAGCAGUAAAACAGUGCACAGGCUUUCUACAAUGUGUAUCCCUGUGCUGUUUACAAACUUAUGAUAAUGGUUCUUCCAAUAAUCAAGACAAAACAUGAAAGCCAUCACUUAAGCUUCCUUUGGAAUACAUGAACUUUACAAGAAACAGUUUAAUUCCAGUAGGAAAACGUGAAAAAUUUCUGCCAAAUAGAAUAUGCCUUACAUAGGUUGUUAAAUAGCAGUUAUCUCCAACUAAAACUAUUGAUUAUUAAUCAAUAUAUUUCAUAGUGCUAAAUACCAAGCUGUGCAUUCUCCUGUUCUUCUGUGCUGAAUGGCUGAAUAACUGAAUGAUUUGUGAUGAUUAUUUGAGGGUACAAGCUAACGGAUUAAAUAUUAUGAAGUUAGAAAAUAGAUUUAAAACAACAUAAUAAGAAAUUCAUAUAUAGAAAAGUUUUGGAUGCGUGUUAAUCCAUCUUUCCAUUCCUUGAAAUUCUAUUGGAUGAUCAGUGUCUUGCAUUUCUAUAUUCUUCACUACUAGUUCAUUCUUGUUUUUAAGGUAUUUUUUAAUGAGUUAUCCACUCUAAUUUACUUUGGUAUUGUGCUGAAAAGCUAUCUAAUUUAUGUUUUAGGAAUAACCAGAAGAAACACUAGAGGGAAAUAAUUUCUCAAAAGGAAGAUCAUGCCAAAAGGGAAAUCUUUUCAUAUGUCAUUCAUUUGCCUGCACCUCUUCCCCCUUUGAAAGUAACAGUUUAUCUUAGUUUACCAAGCAGAAGGGCAAUGAAUUCAUGUUAAAAAUCAGUUGAAUUCUGUCAGUACUGUUGUAUUUACUUCCCCCCUUGAUAUUAGUAAUUUGUAAUUUGGAUGCAUAUCUCAACAACCCUGUUUCAAUGUCAAUGAAUUGAAUGUAGUUUACUUUUUGUCAGGAUCAUCAGGAGAUUCUGAACCUAUGCUUCCCAAGAUUCAUGGAAAGCGUUCGGACCGCCCAAGGGGAAGGAAUCAUACACCUUGGGCACCACUUCAGGGGCUUCUGAA
This 2736-nucleotide long non-coding RNA is filed under the name Oryza sativa (Asian cultivated rice). RNAcentral describes it as "long non-coding RNA (OSAT_LNC001339)". Lineage: Eukaryota; Viridiplantae; Streptophyta; Magnoliopsida; Poales; Poaceae. The record is from RNAcentral.